Long non-coding RNA from Telopea speciosissima, 178 nucleotides. RefSeq lists it as uncharacterized. The record is from RefSeq and is a predicted model, not a curated record. NCBI's taxonomy places the organism in Eukaryota, Viridiplantae, Streptophyta, Magnoliopsida, Proteales, Proteaceae. The transcript is spliced from 3 exons.
ACUUAGAGGGCUUAUUUCAUUGGAAAUAGGGCUUAUUUCAUUGGGUAGGUGUUGGGCUUUUGAUCCCAUAGGUUUUAUUUGUAAUGUGCCACUUUAAUGGGAAUAAAAUAUGGGUAGAAAGUAGGAAAACGGGAUUUAAUUCAUUAUUUUAGUUAGAUGUUAUUGAAUUCAGAUAAAG